ACGCACGCUGGCGGCGCGCCUCACCCCUGCCAGUCGAACGAGCGAGAGAGAGCUUGCUUUCUUGAGCGAGUGGCGAACGGGUGAGUAACGCGUGAGGAACCUGCCUCAAAGAGGGGGACAACAGUUGGAAACGACUGCUAAUACCGCAUAAGCCCACGGUGCCGCAUGGCACAGAGGGAAAAGGAGCAAUCCGCUUUGAGAUGGCCUCGCGUCCGAUUAGCUAGUUGGUGAGGUAACGGCCCACCAAGGCGACGAUCGGUAGCCGGACUGAGAGGUUGAACGGCCACAUUGGGACUGAGACACGGCCCAGACUCCUACGGGAGGCAGCAGUGGGGAAUAUUGCACAAUGGGGGAAACCCUGAUGCAGCGACGCCGCGUGGAGGAAGAAGGUCUUCGGAUUGUAAACUCCUGUUGUUGGGGAAGAUAAUGACGGUACCCAACAAGGAAGUGACGGCUAACUACGUG
RNAcentral lists this ribosomal RNA (465 nucleotides) under uncultured bacterium. Its description in RNAcentral is "partial 16S ribosomal RNA". It matches the Rfam family "Bacterial small subunit ribosomal RNA", at positions 29 to 507 of the family's 1533-position model. The record is from RNAcentral.